GAUGAACGCUGGCGGCGUGCCUAAUACAUGCAAGUCGAGCGAACAGAUGAGGAGCUUGCUCCUCUGACGUUAGCGGCGGACGGGUGAGUAACACGUGGAUAACCUACCUAUAAGACUGGGAUAACUUCGGGAAACCGGAGCUAAUACCGGAUAAUAUAUUGAACCGCAUGGUUCAAUAGUGAAAGACGGUUUUGCUGUCACUUAUAGAUGGAUCCGCGCCGCAUUAGCUAGUUGGUAAGGUAACGGCCUACCAAGGCAACGAUGCGUAGCCGACCAGAGAGGGUGAUCGGCCACACUGGAACUGAGACACGGUCCAGACUCCUACGGGAGGCAGCAGUAGGGAAUCUUCCGCAAUGGGCGAAAGCUUGACGGAGCAACGCCGCGUGAGUGAUGAAGGUCUUCGGAUCGUAAAACUCUGUUAUUAGGGAAGAACAAAUGUGUAAGUAACUAUGCACGUCUUGACGGUACCUAAUCAGAAAGCCACGGCUAACUACGUG
This 497-nucleotide ribosomal RNA is filed under the name uncultured bacterium. RNAcentral describes it as "partial 16S ribosomal RNA". It matches the Rfam family "Bacterial small subunit ribosomal RNA", at positions 28 to 507 of the family's 1533-position model. The record is from RNAcentral.